AACGAACGCUGGCGGCAUGCCUAACACAUGCAAGUCGAACGAAACCUUCGGGCCUUGUUGCGCACCGGUGCGUGCCGCCGGGGAACCUACACUUAAGUUCCGAAUCCUUCCCUGUAGGGGGUGUUAAUGACGCUUAAUCUAAUCCGAGCAAAGAUGUCUCGCCGUUGGGUGGGCGCGCGUUAGAUUAGCCGGUUGGUAGGGGAAAAGCAUGUCAAGGGGACGAUGCUUAGCUGGUUUGAGAGGAAGAUCUUCCACGCUUGGCCUGAGACACGGACGAGACUCCUACGGGAGGGAGCAGUGGGGAAUAUUGGACGAUGGGCGAAAGCGUGAUCCAGCAAUGCCGCGUAAGUGAUGAAGGCGGUAGUGUUGUGCAGCUCUUUUACCCGGGAUGAUAAUGACAGUACCGGGAGAAUAAGCACCGGCUAACUCCGUG
Molecule: ribosomal RNA, 433 nt
Filed under: uncultured bacterium
Lineage: Bacteria
Description: partial 16S ribosomal RNA
Rfam family: Bacterial small subunit ribosomal RNA
Source: RNAcentral